This 497-nucleotide ribosomal RNA is filed under the name uncultured bacterium. RNAcentral's name for it is "partial 16S ribosomal RNA". It matches the Rfam family "Bacterial small subunit ribosomal RNA", at positions 28 to 507 of the family's 1533-position model. The record is from RNAcentral.
GAUGAACGCUGGCGGCGUGCCUAAUACAUGCAAGUCGAGCGAACAGACGAGGAGCUUGCUCCUCUGACGUUAGCGGCGGACGGGUGAGUAACACGUGGAUAACCUACCUAUAAGACUGGGAUAACUUCGGGAAACCGGAGCUAAUACCGGAUAAUAUAUUGAACCGCAUGGUUCAAUAGUGAAAGACGGUUUUGCUGUCACUUAUAGAUGGAUCCGCGCCGCAUUAGCUAGUUGGGAAGGUAACGGCUUACCAAGGCGACGAUGCGUAGCCGACCUGAGAGGGUGAUCGGCCACACUGGAGCUGAGACACGGUCCAGACUCCUGCGGGAGGCAGCAGUAGGGAAUCUUCCGCAAUGGGCGAAAGCCUGACGGAGCAACGCCGCGUGAGUGAUGAAGGUCUUCGGAUCGUAAAACUCUGUUAUUAGGGAAGAACAAAUGUGUAAGUAACUAUGCACGUCUUGACGGUACCUAAUCAGAAAGCCACGGCUAACUACGUG